CCUACGGGGGGCUGCAGUAAGGAAUAUUGGUCAAUGGAGGAAACUCUGAACCAGCCAUCCCGCGUGAAGGAUGAAGGGGCUCUGCCUUGUAAACUUCUUUUGUCUGGGGCGAAAAAGCUCGAUUUAUCGAGAACUGACGGUACCAGAAGAAUAAGCACCGGCUAACUCCGUGCCAGCAGCCGCGGUAAUACGGAGGGUGGCGGCGUUAUCCGGUAUAAAUGGGUUUAAGGCGUGCGUGUAAGUCAGAGUAGAAAGGCUGUGGCUUAACCAUGGAAUUGCCAUUGAUACUGCAGAGCUUGAAUGAGGUUGAGGUUGGCGGAAUGUGACAUGUAGCGGUGAAAUGCUUAGAUAUGUCAUGGAACACCGAUUGCGAAGGCAGCUGACUGGACCUAUAUUGACGCUGAGGCACGAAAGCGUGGGGAGCGAACAGGAUUAGAUACCCCAGUAGUC
RNAcentral lists this ribosomal RNA (450 nucleotides) under uncultured bacterium. Its description in RNAcentral is "partial 16S ribosomal RNA". It matches the Rfam family "Bacterial small subunit ribosomal RNA", at positions 338 to 795 of the family's 1533-position model. The record is from RNAcentral.